Molecule: long non-coding RNA, 3563 nt
Organism: Peromyscus leucopus (white-footed mouse)
Lineage: Eukaryota; Metazoa; Chordata; Mammalia; Rodentia; Cricetidae
Exons: 3
Source: RefSeq, a predicted model, not a curated record
AAUAAACAUUUGAUUAGCUCCUUGUACAUAUGUGGAGGAGAAGGGGCGGGGGAGGACCAAAAAGAAAGGAAUCUGACCUCUGGGCAGUCACUUUCUCAAUCCUCUACUCUGGCUGGUGUUCAAGUACAUAGAGGCUGGACACAGCACACCUGCCUGCCCAGCUUUCUCCUACACUAAAAUCCAGCCAGCACCAGAUAUGGAACAAGAAACAGAGGGCACGGUGAUGUUACUGUGGCACAUUUCCUCGGACCACACAGUUUCCAAAGAACUGUACCUGAAGGUGACUUGCUUGGAUUCCAAUAAUCUUUGGAUCUUUAUGAUUGUAGUUACAGGACUUCAAGAAAGAAAAGAAAAAGGCCAGACCAAGGCCUUUGGCUCAAGAGUACAGCAAAAGACAUCAGCCAGAGCUUAGAGUGAAGAGCGCGGGCCGCAAAGAGCCUUGAUAGUAGCCCCGAUUGACCUGGAACUUUCAGCAAUCCUCCUGCUUCACAUUCCCGUAGGCUGAGAUUACAGGCACACUUCUCUAUGUAAUGGCAUGUCACCUUAACUGGAGUUAGAUGAUAAAAGUGAGUAAAGCCACCAUGAAAUAUGGGUGCUCUGCUCUGGACACACUCUGCUCAAUCUUUCCUCCACCCCCUGCUGCUCCCUCUUCUAGAAUUAAUUGUCUACUUGUCCUUUCAAAGGAUGAUACUUGCUCCACAUAAAGCCUGCUGAGUGUCAUAGUCAAUCUGGGGACACUGGGCUGAAGUAUCUCCUCCAGCCAAUCUGCCUGUCCAUCCAUCUUCCUGUCCAUCCAUCUUCCUACCCACCCACCCAUCCACUUAUCAUCCAAUGGAGAGUGGUUGAAGAGUGCAUCCACUAUUUACUGGGGAUCUUUCCCUAUGGGGAUGUCUGGCUGUGGUAUAUGUGCUUCCAGAAAUAAAAUGGAGAGAGAAACAUUCUACCAAUAUGCCUGUCUAAGAAGAGCAGAGUGCUUCUCUUCAGAGAGUGACCUUCCACAAACAAGUAGGGGUAGACUCUGACAGACUCAUUUCUUUCCUGAGUCCUGUCCAGAGGUUUCAUCUGCUAGUUAAAGGAAUUCUAAGUAUGAUCAAAUAAGCCGGUCCAAAUAAGGCAUUUGGACGAUAGGAGACAGUGGUUUGGGAGUGGGAGACAACUUGAGCACAUGUAUCACAGAGAUAAUCCAUUCUAAUGCCAUACAAAUCCUUUAGUCCAAACAGAGGGGAGGAGGAGAGUCACUGCUCUCACUUAGGGAAUCCCAAACUCUACAGUGCCUGGAAAGUCAUGAGGGAGUGGCAGCGGCUGCCACUGCUGAGUUAGCCCCAGCCUAGCUGAAGACACUGCUGGGUUUCUAGAAGAGAUUGGGGCCGUUUCACUGGAGCUCAGCCUUGGGGAGCCUAAGCUCUGAGAUGAGUUAGUGCUGAAAUGAACAGUGGAAAGCAAAGAUCCUAUUUAAACAACAAUAAAAUUUUCUAUGGAAUCUACUGUCAUCAAGUGCAAUGCUUUUCCCCAGCUUGGGCAAACCUCUGACAGUCUGUACCUUAGACCUCUGUGUAAAUUGCUUUGUAGCAUUUUAUGCUCUGUUGAUUUAGGCUCCUUAACAGUAGAGUCCAGUAAGGGAGCUUUGUGUAGGAGAAAGGAUGGUGGGGAGGGAGCCUGUAUUCUAGCACUAGUUCUACAAUGAACAACCAGCUUGUAGCUUGGAAAAACAGGAGACUUCUGUGCUAAUGCUAUCGUGACUAUAAACCCAGCAGACUAAAUAAGUUAUAUCCCUAUCUAAAGCUCUAGGAUUUAUAACACAUCAAUCACAUGAAACAUGCCAUGAAGAGGAAGAAAAUCGUGACAGCAGCUCACAGCAGGAUCCACCCACUUCUCAAGGACUGUUCCUGAAGACUUCCUUGGAAAUGACAUGUUGCUUCCCCCAAACUCAGGAGACUUUAUUUGCAUAAUUCUCUUGCUAGUGUUCUCCACUCUUCACCUUGUGUCCUCAUUGUUGACACACAUGUCUGGCCUUCCUUAUGAACUCUAAGCUCCUUCAAAACAUGGUCCAUCUUUUGAUCUCUUGCCAUGUCUAGCCGUAGUUUCAUAAAUACUUGUUGAAUGAAUCAAUGGUUCUGCGAAGAGCGCCUGAUUAGCUCUUCUUUCAAAUAAUUAUUCUUUCUACUUCAAAGAUAAAAUUGAGAUCCAAACACUCCGACUUAUUUAUCUCAGUUUACAAAAUUGAAGUCUCAGUUCUAAAGUCCUUGGAGUGAUGAACUGUUCUUUUAGGAAACCUUCAUGGACAUCCAUUCUGAUGCCUACUUCAUUAAUAUCCAAAGCCUGAGCAAUAGUAAUAACAAUAACAACAAUAAUGAUAAUAUUAACUAUACCAAGAACAAUAAUAACUGAGCUUUUGACUAGGUCACCUUUCCAGCUCAGAACAUGGUCUUUGGGAGAAUAUUUCAGAUAUAAACUGAAUAAAACCAGAAACAUUCUUUUUUAUAUUAUUUCCCCACAAUUUUAUUAUUUUAAAAAAUGCAGUCACUCUUUCUGUAACAAUAGUGACCUCUAUGUGUAAUAUCUUGUUAUUCAUUCACUUGCCAAACAUUCGACAUCAUAAUUCAGGUAUAAUGCAACAUAUUAAAGAUAUAAAGAUGAGAAUAAUAUAGCUCCUUCAAAAGCUGACAGUGCAGGAGAGAAAAUAAAAUUAUGAAAACAGCACUUGGAUAUAGCAUGGGUCUCUGAACAUAGACAGACUCUCACUUUUCAGGGCACAAGCUGUACCUGACUGUUAACUAUGACCCUGAGUCAUCUAAUUUAUCUUACUGGAAACUACUGAUGUUUAAGACCAAAUGUUAAAAAUAUAAAGACAUGUGCCAUGAGGAAUUCCGACAAGGACUCUUCUUCUGUGACAUAGCCAUCUGGCUCAAGCCAGAGAAAUUCAAACAGAGGAGAGACAGUCUGUCUACAUUCCUGGUUUUUUUUUUUUUUUUGAGCAUGUUGAGCUUCCAUGGUGGCUAGUGCCACCAAGACCUAUCUCUGUAUGAGAUGCAUGCCCCAUUCAACCAGACCCCAUUCGUCCCAUCCUCCAGCACAAAUAUUUUUGGCUCACAUUUCCAAUGAUGGCAAUUGCAAGUGUUCGGAAAGCUGCCAUCUAAUAAGCCCAACUUACUACCUGUUGAAGGAGGUUUUUACGUUUUGUUCCCUAACACCCCCUUUUUUGAUGGUUAAAGUCCAAAGAAUACUUCUCAGAAUAAUUCUAAACUAAUAAAAUAUAGGAUAUUUAAAGAUAUACCCAUAUAUGUACACAAUAAUAAUCAUAAAUAAAAGCAUCUGAAUAAGGUUAGCACUAAAGAAUACGAUGGUUUGAGGUGAAGGAGAAUGUCAGUUAUGCUUUAGGAGAUAUGUAUAAGCAUAACAUCAAAAUAGCUUUUGAUUCUCCACAACUGUGUCCACACUACUAUUAUCUGAUGCAUGUGUUGCUAGGGUAGGAUAUUUCAACUACCGACCAUAGAAUACAAGAUGCAAUUCUUACCCCAUUUGAGCCCAUUCUGUUCACAGUAUCCCCUGAAUUUUCAUAAGAC